CAAUAGCGUAUAUUAAAGUUGUUGCAGUUAAAACGCUCGUAGUCGGAUUUCGGGGCGGGCCGACCGGUCUGCCGAUGGGUAUGCACUGGCCGGCGCGUCCUUCCUUCCGGAGACCGUGCCUACUCUUAACUGAGCGGGUUCGGGAGACGGAUCGUUUACUUUGAAAAAUCAGAGUGUUUCAAGCAGGCAGCUCGCUCUUGCAUGGAUUAGCAUGGAGAUAAUAGAAAUAGGUACUUUGGUGCUUAUUUUUGGUUUGGUUUACGAACCACCGAAGUAAUGAUUAACGAGGGACAGUCGAGGGGCACUCGUAUUCCGCCGAGAGAGGUAGAAAUUCUCAGACCAGCGGAAGACCGAACCACUGACGAAAGCUAUUU
Molecule: ribosomal RNA, 374 nt
Filed under: uncultured eukaryote
Lineage: Eukaryota
Description: bacterial SSU rRNA
Rfam family: Eukaryotic small subunit ribosomal RNA
Source: RNAcentral